GGUCAAGCGAAUAAGCGCACACGGUGGAUGCCUUGGCGGUCAGAGGCGAUGAAGGACGUGGCAGCCUGCGAAAAGUAUCGGGGAGCUGGCAACAAGCUUUGAUCCGGUAAUGUCCGAAUGGGGAAACCCACCCGCUUGCGGGUAUCCUGCAGUGAAUACAUAGCUGCUGGAAGCGAACCUGGUGAACUGAAAUAUCUAAGUAACCAGAGGAAAAGAAAUCAACCGAGAUUCCGUAAGUAGCGACGAGCGAACGCGGACUAGCCCUUAAGCUGGAUUGGUUCUAGGAAAACGCUCUGGAAAGAGCGGCCAUAGAAGGUGAUAGCCCUGUAUCUGAAAGGGCCAUUCCAGUGAAGACGAGUAGGGCGGGGCACGUGAAACCCUGUCUGAACAUGGGGGGACCAUCCUCCAAGGCUAAAUACUACUGACCGACCGAUAGUGAACCAGUACCGUGAGGGAAAGGCGAAAAGAACCCCGGAGAGGGGAGUGAAAUAGAACCUGAAACCGUGUGCGUACAAGCAGUAGGAGCUCCGCAAGGAGUGACUGCGUACCUUUUGUAUAAUGGGUCAGCGACUUACUGUUCGUGGCAAGCUUAACCGUAUAGGGGAGGCGAAGGGAAACCGAGUCUGAUAAGGGCGCAUAGUCGCGGGCAGUAGACCCGAAACCGGGUGAUCUAGUCAUGCCCAGGGUGAAGGUGCGGUAACACGCACUGGAGGCCCGAACCCACUCCCGUUGCAAAGGUAGGGGAUGAGGUGUGAUUAGGAGUGAAAAGCUAAUCGAACCCGGAGAUAGCUGGUUCUCCUCGAAAGCUAUUUAGGUAGCGCCUCAUAUGUAUCCUCUCGGGGGUAGAGCACUGUUAUGGCUAGGGGGUCAUCGCGACUUACCAAACCAUUGCAAACUCCGAAUACCGAGACGGACUGUAUGGGAGACACACGGCGGGUGCUAACGUCCGUCGUGAAAAGGGAAACAACCCAGACCCACAGCUAAGGUCCCAAAUUCACUGCUAAGUGGAAAACCAUGUGGAAAGGCACAGACAGCCAGGAGGUUGGCUUAGAAGCAGCCACCCUUUAAAGAAAGCGUAAUAGCUCACUGGUCGAGUCGGUCUGCGGGGAAGAUUUAACGGGGCUAAGCAGUGAACCGAAGCUUGGGGUGCAUAACUUUGUUAUGCGCGGUAGAGGAGCGUUCCGUAAGCCGUUGAAGGUGGAUUGAGAAGUCUGCUGGAGGUAUCGGAAGUGCGAAUGCUGACAUGAGUAACGAUAAUGCGGGUGAAAAACCCGCACGCCGAAAGCCCAAGGUUUCCUUGCGCAACGUUAAUCGGCGCAGGGUGAGUCGGCCCCUAAGGCGAGGACGAAAGUCGUAGUCGAUGGGAAGCAGGUUAAUAUUCCUGCACCUCGCGUAAGUGCGAUGGAGGGACGGAGAAGGUUAGGUGUACCAGGCGUUGGUUGUCCUGGGGAAAGGCGGUAGGUUUGGAUCUUUGGCAAAUCCGGGAUCCUUUAAGACCGAGCACCGAGACGAGCCUUUAUGGCGAAGUCACUGAUACCACGCUUCCAGGAAAAGCUCCUAAGCUUCAGCUUACGCAGACCGUACCGUAAACCGACACAGGUGGGUAGGAUGAGAAUUCUCAGGCGCUUGAGAGAACUCGGGUGAAGGAACUAGGCAACAUGGCACCGUAACUUCGGGAGAAGGUGCACCCUUUUUGGUGGCUCGUGCGAGCUAUAGCUGAAGAGGGUCGCAGUAACCAGGCCGCUGCGACUGUUUAUCAAAAACACAGCACUCUGCAAACACGAAAGUGGACGUAUAGGGUGUGACGCCUGCCCGGUGCUGGAAGGUUAAUUGAUGGGGUCAGCCGCAAGGCGAAGCUCUUGAUCGAAGCCCCAGUAAACGGCGGCCGUAACUAUAACGGUCCUAAGGUAGCGAAAUUCCUUGUCGGGUAAGUUCCGACCUGCACGAAUGGCGUAACGACAGCGGCGCUGUCUCCACCCGAGACUCAGUGAAAUUGAAAUCGCUGUGAAGAUGCAGCGUUCCCGUGGCAAGACGGAAAGACCCCGUGAACCUUUACUAUAGCUUUACACUGAACGUUGAGUUCGUCUGUGUAGGAUAGGUGGGAGGCUAUGAAACCAUGGCGCUAGCUGUGGCGGAGCCAUCCUUGAAAUACCACCCUGUCGUGCUUGACGUUCUAACCUGGGCCCAUUAUCUGGGUCGGGGACCGUGUAUGGUGGGUAGUUUGACUGGGGCGGUCUCCUCCUAAAGAGUAACGGAGGAGCUCGAAGGUACGCUCAGCGCGGUCGGACAUCGCGCACUGUGUGCAAAGGCAUAAGCGUGCUUGACUGCAAGAUCGACGGAUCAAGCAGGUAGGAAACUAGGACUUAGUGAUCCGGUGGUUCUGUAUGGAAGGGCCAUCGCUCAACGGAUAAAAGGUACUCCGGGGAUAACAGGCUGAUACCGCCCAAGAGUUCAUAUCGACGGCGGUGUUUGGCACCUCGAUGUCGGCUCAUCACAUCCUGGGGCUGUAGUCGGUCCCAAGGGUAUGGCUGUUCGCCAUUUAAAGUGGUACGCGAGCUGGGUUCAGAACGUCGUGAGACAGUUCGGUCCCUAUCUGCCAUGGGCGUUGGAGAUUUGAGAGGGGCUGCUCCUAGUACGAGAGGACCGGAGUGGACGAACCUCUGGUGUUCCGGUUGUCACGCCAGUGGCAUUGCCGGGUAGCUAUGUUCGGAAGCGAUAACCGCUGAAAGCAUCUAAGCGGGAAGCGCGCCUCAAGAUGAGAUCUCCCGGGGCACAAGCCCCCUGAAGGAACCAUGUAGACUACGUGGUUGAUAGGUCAGGUGUGUAAGUACAGCAAUGUAUUGAGCUAACUGAUACUAAUGAUCCGUGCGGCUUGACCAU
Molecule: ribosomal RNA, 2880 nt
Filed under: Stenotrophomonas maltophilia
Lineage: Bacteria; Pseudomonadati; Pseudomonadota; Gammaproteobacteria; Lysobacterales; Lysobacteraceae
Also listed under: 1 other name
Description: 23S ribosomal RNA
Rfam family: Bacterial large subunit ribosomal RNA
Source: RNAcentral